This 379-nucleotide ribosomal RNA is filed under the name uncultured eukaryote. RNAcentral's name for it is "SSU rRNA". It matches the Rfam family "Eukaryotic small subunit ribosomal RNA", at positions 587 to 972 of the family's 1831-position model. The record is from RNAcentral.
AGCUCCAAUAGCGUAUAUUAAAGUUGUUGCGGUUAAAAAGCUCGUAGUUGGAUUUCUGUUGAGGACGACCGGUCCGCACUAUGUGCGUGUAUCUGGUUCGGCCUUGGCAUCCUCCAGGGGAACAGUGCUGCGCUUGAUUGCGUGGUCUGGUAUUCUGGACUUUUACUUUGAGGAAAUUAGAGUGUUUACGGCAGGCAAUCGCCUUGAAUAUAUUAGCAUGGAAUAAUAAUAUAGGACCUUGGGUCUAUUGUUGGUUUCUAGAUCUAAGGUAAUGAUUAAUAGGGAUAAUUGGGGGCAUUCGUAUUAACACGUCAGAGGUGAAAUUCUUGGAUUGUGUUACGACGAACUACUGCGAAAGCAUUUGCCAAGGAUGUUUUCA